RNAcentral lists this ribosomal RNA (403 nucleotides) under uncultured bacterium. Its description in RNAcentral is "partial 16S ribosomal RNA". It matches the Rfam family "Bacterial small subunit ribosomal RNA", at positions 30 to 526 of the family's 1533-position model. The record is from RNAcentral.
AUUGAACGCUGGCGGCAGGCCUAACACAUGCAAGUCGAGCGAGAGGCGGACGGGUGCGUAAUGUAUGGGGACUGCCCGAUAGAGGGGGAUAACUACUGGAAACGGUAGCUAAUACCGCAUACUAUCGGAUAACCCAUAUGGGCGUAGCUAGUAGGUGAGGUAAUGGCUCACCUAGGCGACGAUCCCUAGCUGGUCUGAGAGGAUGAGCAGCCACCCUGGGACUUAGACACGGUCCAGACGCCUACGGAGGCAGCAGUGGGGAAUAUUGAAAAAUGGGCGCAAGCCUGAUGCAGCCAUGCCGCGUGUAUGAAGAAGGCCCUAGGGUGGUAAAGUCCUUUCAGUCGGGAGGCGUUACCGACAGAAGAAGCACCGGCUAACUCCGUGCCAGCAGCCGCGGUAAUUC